ACUCCUACGGGAGGCAGCAGUGGGGAAUAUUGCACAAUGGGGGAAACCCUGAUGCAGCCAUGCCGCGUGUGUGAAGAAGGCCUUCGGGUUGUAAAGCACUUUCAGUAGGGAGGAAGGUAGUGUAGUUAACACCUGCAUUAUUUGACGUUACCUACAGAAGAAGCACCGGCUAACUCCGUGCCAGCAGCCGCGGUAAUACGGAGGGUGCGAGCGUUAAUCGGAAUUACUGGGCGUAAAGCGCAUGCAGGCGGCCUGUUAAGUCAGAUGUGAAAGCCCGGGGCUUAACCUCGGAAUUGCAUUUGAAACUGGCAGGCUAGAGUCUUGUAGAGGGGUUAGAAUUUCAGGUGUAGCGGUGAAAUGCGUAGAGAUCUGAAGGAAUACCAGUGGCGAAGGCGGCCCCUGGACAAAGACUGACGCUCAGAUGCGAAAGCGUGGGAGCAAACAGGAUUAGAUACCCCUGGUAGACUGUCA
Molecule: ribosomal RNA, 471 nt
Filed under: uncultured bacterium
Lineage: Bacteria
Description: bacterial SSU rRNA
Rfam family: Bacterial small subunit ribosomal RNA
Source: RNAcentral